This 465-nucleotide ribosomal RNA is filed under the name Vreelandella stevensii. Its description in RNAcentral is "partial 16S ribosomal RNA". It matches the Rfam family "Bacterial small subunit ribosomal RNA", at positions 338 to 795 of the family's 1533-position model. The record is from RNAcentral. Lineage: Bacteria; Pseudomonadati; Pseudomonadota; Gammaproteobacteria; Oceanospirillales; Halomonadaceae.
CCUACGGGAGGCUGCAGUGGGGAAUAUUGGACAAUGGGCGAAAGCCUGAUCCAGCCAUGCCGCGUGUGUGAAGAAGGCCUUCGGGUUGUAAAGCACUUUCAGUGGGGAAGAAAGCCUUGGGGCUAAUACCCUCGAGGAAGGACAUCACCCACAGAAGAAGCACCGGCUAACUCCGUGCCAGCAGCCGCGGUAAUACGGAGGGUGCGAGCGUUAAUCGGAAUUACUGGGCGUAAAGCGCGCGUAGGCGGUCUGAUAAGCCGGUUGUGAAAGCCCCGGGCUCAACCUGGGAACGGCAUCCGGAACUGUCAGGCUAGAGUACGGGAGAGGAAGGUAGAAUUCCAGGUGUAGCGGUGAAAUGCGUAGAGAUCGGGAGGAAUACCGGUGGCGAAGGCGGCCUUCUGGACUGACACUGACGCUGAGGUGCGAAAGCGUGGGUAGCAAACAGGAUUAGAUACCCGAGUAGUC